Molecule: transfer RNA, 58 nt
Filed under: Cordylochernes scorpioides
Lineage: Eukaryota; Metazoa; Arthropoda; Arachnida; Pseudoscorpiones; Chernetidae
Description: tRNA-Ser
Source: RNAcentral
UGGAUCGGCCGGGUAUCGAACCCGUGGCAGGCGAGCAUUCUACCACUGAACCACCGAU